This 179-nucleotide non-coding RNA is filed under the name unclassified sequences. RNAcentral describes it as "malK-I RNA". It matches the Rfam family "malK-I RNA". The record is from RNAcentral.
CUGACUGCGUAUGGGGCUCUCCAUUUUUAAGUUCCAUACAGCUUUAAUAAGGAGGAAGUAUUCAUCCCCGGGCUCGGGGUGCGGCAGUGUGGAGACCUGUCGUAAUGCAGACUGUCCCCUGCGGGCAGCUGUGAGCCUGUCGAUGCGGAUGCAGGGCAGGCGGAGCCGGAAGCAUGGCA